This 426-nucleotide ribosomal RNA is filed under the name uncultured bacterium. RNAcentral describes it as "bacterial SSU rRNA". It matches the Rfam family "Bacterial small subunit ribosomal RNA", at positions 354 to 796 of the family's 1533-position model. The record is from RNAcentral.
GUGGGGAAUAUUGGACAAUGGGGGCAACCCUGAUCCAGCAAUGCCGCGUGAGUGAGGAAGGCCUUCGGGUUGUAAAGCUCUUUCGGCGGGGACGAUGAUGACGGUACCCGCAGAAGAAGCCCCGGCUAACUUCGUGCCAGCAGCCGCGGUAAUACGAAGGGGGCGAGCGUUGUUCGGAUUUACUGGGCGUAAAGGGCGCGCAGGCGGCGAUCAUUUGUCAGGCGUGAAAGCCCCGGGCUCAACCUGGGAAUUGCGCUUGAAACGGGAUUGCUAGAGAUCGGGAGAGGAGCGUGGAAUUCCCAGUGUAGAGGUGAAAUUCGUAGAUAUUGGGAAGAACACCGGUGGCGAAGGCGGCGCUCUGGACCGAGACUGACGCUGAGGCGCGAAAGCGUGGGGAGCAAACAGGAUUAGAAACCCGUGUAGUCC